Molecule: unclassified non-coding RNA, 2729 nt
Filed under: Hevea brasiliensis (rubber tree)
Lineage: Eukaryota; Viridiplantae; Streptophyta; Magnoliopsida; Malpighiales; Euphorbiaceae
Source: RNAcentral
CGCCACUGCACCUGUCUCCGGAGCUCCCAAAGCAAGAAAAGCAAAUUGAAAGCGGAGACGUAUUUCUUUCUCCUUAUAAAGCUAAAGCCAAGCAAUUUUGUUUCUCUGGCUACUUCUAUUACUCAUACUCUCCUCCUCUUCUCUUCGCCUUCCUCGUUGAUUCUUCUUCGGAGUCCCUUGGGAGCUCUCGCCAUGGCUGCUUCUGUUACUGGAUCCAACGUCAUUGCAUUCAAAUCCCCCGAAAUCUCUGCGAAUUUUGGAAGUUCUGGUGACCAGAGAGUCGCUCAGGUCCGUCAAUGGUCUCCGAUUACUAGUGGAGUCGGACAACUCCAGUCUCGCAUGGGCCUCCAGUGUAGAUCGAGGAGCUCAUUUGGUUACUCUGGCGUAAGAGCUCAGGUUGCUACUGCUGAAGCAGCAAGCGCCGAGGCCACACAGAAGCUGGAAGCGCCUGUUGUUGUAGUGACCGGAGCUUCUAGAGGUAUUGGUAAAGCAAUUGCCUUGUCCUUGGGAAAGGCAGGUUGUAAGGUCUUGGUAAAUUAUGCCAGGUCAUCAAAAGAGGCUGAGGAAGUUUCCAAAGAGAUUGAGGCUUAUGGUGGUGAGGCUCUCACUUUUGGGGGUGAUGUUUCAAAAGAAGCUGAUGUGGAGUCAAUGAUGAAAACUGCUAUUGAUGCAUGGGGAACCAUUGAUGUACUAGUCAAUAAUGCAGGAAUAACCCGAGAUACAUUGUUGAUGAGAAUGAAGAAAUCUCAGUGGCAGGAGGUUAUUGAUCUAAAUCUCACAGGUGUAUUCCUUUGCACACAGGCAGCAGCCAAAAUCAUGAUGAAGAAGAAAAAGGUAAGAUCACAUGCCUGUCUUAAGUUUAUGCUUCCUUGUUCUUGGCAAAUUAAGCUUGGACUGAUUUGUGCACUAAACCUGGAAUUGAUACAGUAUUGAGACUUUCUCCUUGCAUUUUUGAAUUUAUUUCAGUCUUCAUGCUGUCUUUCUUAUUGUUAACUCUUCUUCUUAAAUAACUGAAUUGAUAGCUUUGAAUUCUAUCUCAAAAGGAAGCUAACAAACUUUGGAACAUAUAGUAUUUCAAAUAGGGCUUUAAUUGUGAAUGCAAUGCCCUCUUCAAGAUUGGAUUUUAACUCACUUAAAGCUGGUAAUUUGCUGAAAUUAAAGAAAAUAAAAUAAAAUAGGGAUUCCUCGAGUUCAGUUGACCUAGAAGCCUAAAAAUGUUGACUUUCGUCUUUGUCUCUCUUGAUUUCUGUUAACAAUAUAAUGUCCUUUUGUUAUUUGGGUCUUACAGGGAAGGAUCAUUAACAUAGCAUCAGUAGUGGGUUUAGUUGGCAAUGCUGGGCAAGCCAACUACAGUGCAGCGAAGGCUGGAGUUAUUGGACUGACAAAGACUGUUGCAAAGGAAUAUGCAAGCAGAAAUAUUAAUGUGUGUUUUAAGAAUUUUAUUAUGUAUUUGGUGAUUUGACACAUUCCACGAUUUUAUGCAGCUGGUGCUACUUUAUGUGAAUUAACUCUCUUGAAAUUAUAUUUCUUAGGUAAAUGCUGUUGCCCCUGGAUUCAUUGCAUCUGAUAUGACAGCCAAACUCGGGGAGGAUAUUGAGAAGAAAAUCUUGGAGACAAUUCCCUUAGGUGGGAGACAAAAUCAUAAAAUAAAAAUUUGUCAUUUGUUAAUUUUCAAAUUUUAGAUUUUAUUAAGAAGUAUUUGAAAUUGAAACAAAUUCUUCCAAGUAAUUAGGAUUUUCAUGAGUUGAGAAAACUGAAUGAAAUAUUUCAUAAAACAAUCGAUACUAAAUUUUGACAUGUAUUCAGGUAGGUAUGGCCAACCGGAAGAGGUUGCUGGAUUGGUAGAAUUCCUGGCUCUUAAUCCUGCUGCCAGCUACAUCACUGGACAGGUUUAGAAUCUAUUUUUGUUUCGAUUCCCUUUGUUUUUAAAAUUUUGACCAGUGGAGUUGUAGCCCAAAAUUCUUUUCUUUUAGUUCUUUGUUGGGGUUGCUUUGAUCUCGCUAAUCUCGAGAUGGCUUAUCUUGGCAUUGGUUUGACUUUACCUAACUCUGUCUUUGCCACAUCAAACCUUGCCUUCUUGGCCUUUGCAUAAACACAUGCCAUGGUCAGGACAACACAAAGGCAUAGUCAGCUUCAUCAAGCUGGCCCAUGCAAAAGGACCUGUAACUGUUUAGAUUUAGUUGUAAUUUGUUAGCUAAAGAGAAUUAAUUUAUAAGCAGCUCAAUACUGAUCUCUGGAUCAAGAUAUGUCAUAGUUCUCCUUGUCAUAUCAUGACAUGCUUUUCUAUCAUCAUGGACUGGUUCUUGUUCAAAUAAAUUCAUUUGUUUUCCUAUGACAUGCUAAAUGCCUGCAAUGGAAUUACAUGGUGAAGCCCAGUCAUUUCAUUUUCAUAAUUACCAAGUUAUAUUUUGCUGUUUUGCAGGUGUUUACUAUUGAUGGAGGAAUGGUUAUGUAAGUUGACUAGGUGCCAUGUCUGGUUGAGCCUGAAAAGUUUCUACCCUCCUGAAUUUGGAUAGGCAGAUUUCUUUCAACUGGGUAUGACUAGCUUGCGCUAGGCGGUUUUUGUCUUUACACUCUUCUGUAAUAAACAAAUGCUUGAAGUUGAUAGAAUCUCAGUUAAUUAUGUUAAACAAACCGAACAAAUGUAUCAACAGUUUUCCUAAGCAUUGUUUAACAAAUUGGAAAAUGUAGCUUUUGUGUUUUUGUUAUCGUCAUGGUGUUUCAUGUUU